This 547-nucleotide ribosomal RNA is filed under the name uncultured bacterium. RNAcentral describes it as "bacterial SSU rRNA". It matches the Rfam family "Bacterial small subunit ribosomal RNA", at positions 36 to 615 of the family's 1533-position model. The record is from RNAcentral.
CUGGCGGCGUGCCUAACACAUGCAAGUCGCACGAGAAAGUGGAGCAAUCCAUGAGUAAAGUGGCGCACGGGUGAGUAACACGUGAAUGAUCUACCUCCGAGUGGGGAAUAACCUAGAGAAAUCUGGGCUAAUACCGCAUAACACUUACGAGUCGAAGCAGCAAUGCGCUUGGAGAGGAGUUCGCGGCCGAUUAGUUAGUUGGCGGGGUAAUGGCCCACCAAGACGAUGAUCGGUAUCCGGCCUGAGAGGGCGCACGGACACACUGGAACUGAAACACGGUCCAGACUCCUACGGGAGGCAGCAGUGGGGAAUUUUGCGCAAUGGGGGAAACCCUGACGCAGCAACGCCGCGUGGAGGAUGAAAUCCCUUGGGAUGUAAACUCCUUUCGAUCGGGACGAUUAUGACGGUACCGGAAGAAGAAGCCCCGGCUAACUUCGUGCCAGCAGCCGCGGUAAUACGAGGGGGGCAAGCGUUGUUCGGAAUUAUUGGGCGUAAAGGGCGCGUANGCGGUUUGACAAGUCUGAUGUGAAAUCUCUGGGCUCAACUC